This 378-nucleotide ribosomal RNA is filed under the name uncultured bacterium. RNAcentral describes it as "bacterial SSU rRNA". It matches the Rfam family "Bacterial small subunit ribosomal RNA", at positions 521 to 896 of the family's 1533-position model. The record is from RNAcentral.
UCAUACGGAGGAUCCAAGCGUUAUCCGGAUUUACUGGGCGUAAAGAGUUGCGUAGGUGGUCUGUUAAGCAAAUAGUGAAAUCUUGUGGCUCAACCAUAAGGCUAUUAUUUGAACUGGCAGACUCGAGAAUGAGAGAGGUCACUGGAAUUCCCUGUGUAGGAGUGAAAUCCGUAGAUAUAGGGAGGAACACCAAUGGCGUAGGCAGGUGACUGGCUCAUUUCUGACACUGAGGCACGAAAGCGUGGGGAGCGAACGGGAUUAGAUACCCCGGUAGUCCACGCCGUAAACGAUGGAUGCUAGCUGUUAGGAGUAUCGACCCUUCUAGUAGCGAAGCUAACGCGUUAAGCAUCCCGCCUGGGGAGUACGGUCGCAAGAUUA